UGAAGAUGGAAAUCAAUGACUUAGAAACCAAUUAAACAAUCCAAAUAGCAACUGAUAAAUGGAUUAACCCUCUAUAAUGAAAUUCCUCUAGCUUUUGUCUUCCGCCUUCCCCAGGUAGGUUUUCUAUUCCUGGAGGCAAAGCAGAGGCAUGGAGGAAGUGGAGGCCAGAGGGAAUCACAUUAAAGUGGGUGAAUCUGUUUAUCACUUACUGUCUGGAUGGUAUUUCUGCUCACAUCUCUGCUUCCUUUUUCAGAUUUGUACUGUAUGGGACCCUGAUUAACGUUAGCCAGUGAAUAAUGAAAGGCAGCAGCAGACACUGGGUCUGCCCAGAAAGGACCGGAUGGAACAGUCAUUCCCAAUAACUACUGUGACUUCUGCUUGGGGGGCUCCAACAUGAACAAGAAGAGUGGGCGGCCUGAAGAGCUGGUGUCCUGCGCAGACUGUGGACGCUCUGCUCAUUUGGGAGGAGAAGGCAGGAAGGA
This 482-nucleotide small RNA is filed under the name Pan troglodytes (chimpanzee). RNAcentral's name for it is "processed transcript". The record is from RNAcentral. Lineage: Eukaryota; Metazoa; Chordata; Mammalia; Primates; Hominidae.